RNAcentral lists this ribosomal RNA (292 nucleotides) under uncultured bacterium. Its description in RNAcentral is "partial 16S ribosomal RNA". It matches the Rfam family "Bacterial small subunit ribosomal RNA", at positions 505 to 796 of the family's 1533-position model. The record is from RNAcentral.
GUGUCAGCAGCCGCGGUAAUACGGGGGGGGCAAGCGUUGUCCGGAAUUAUUGGGUGUAAAGGGCGCGUAGGCGGAUUUGUAAGUCAGUGGUGAAAUCUCGGGACUUAACUCCGAGACUGCCUCUGAGACUGCUUUUCUUGAGUGUGGAAGAGGAAAUCGGAAUUCCCGGUGUAGCGGUGAAAUGCGUAGAUAUCGGGAAGAACACCAGUGGCGAAGGCGGAUUUCUGGUCCACAACUGACGCUGAGGCGCGAAAGCGUGGGUAGCAAACAGGAUUAGAAACCCCAGUAGUCC